AAAAACCCAAAGAGGUUAACUGUGAACCCAGAAGAUUGGGCGUCAACCUUUGGAACUGAUUUUAUUCGCAACUCCAAGGUCCCAGACAUUGAUUUUGCCUCUGUUCAUAUAUACCCUGAUCAUUGGGUUCAACAUCAAACAUUUGAAGAGAAGCUGACAUUUGUGUCCAAGUGGAUGCUUUCUCACAUUGAAGAUGGUCAUUAUGAACUGAAUAAGCCAGUCUUUUUCACCGAGUAUGGAUUCUCUAACCUGAACAAUGACUUCCAGCCAUCUCAACGUGAAAGGUUUUACAAAACUGUUUUAGACAUCAUCUAUAAAUCUGCAAAGAGAAAACGAGCUGGGGCAGGUGCAUUGGUCUGGCAAUUGUUUGUCGAAGGAAUGGAAGAGUUUAAUGAUGAUUUUGGGAUUGUCCCAUGGGAAAGACCAUCAACAUAUAAAUACUUUACUAAACAAUCAUGCAGCUUGGCCAGAUUGCAGGGAAUUCCUCUGCAAAAUCAAAUUUAUAGAGAGUUGUGUUUGCAGAGACAGUAAAAAUUGAGUUCUAUUAAAAUGUUCAAAAUCCGUGGGAGAUUAUUAUGUUUCUAAUUUGUUGUGCCUGGUCACUCCAGGAAGGGAUACAGGUCACUUUUUUUAAUUCAUAUUCUUCCAAAUUCUACACAAAUUAUGUAAUUCAUGUUAGGUUAGACAAGUGUAGGUAUAUUGCAGCAGAGAUAAACACUGCUGCAAAAUCUGUGUUCAAGAUCUUGCUAUGAGAGAUCUAUGGAUUUAAAUCACAGCUAAAAUUGAUAUACAGCGAACAGAAGCCCUAAUCUAAUUGCACUCUGA
Molecule: unclassified non-coding RNA, 825 nt
Filed under: Hevea brasiliensis (rubber tree)
Lineage: Eukaryota; Viridiplantae; Streptophyta; Magnoliopsida; Malpighiales; Euphorbiaceae
Source: RNAcentral